Molecule: ribosomal RNA, 508 nt
Filed under: uncultured bacterium
Lineage: Bacteria
Description: partial 16S ribosomal RNA
Rfam family: Bacterial small subunit ribosomal RNA
Source: RNAcentral
GACGAACGCUGGCGGCGUGCCUAACACAUGCAAGUCGAACGGAGAGAUACGAGAGCUUGCCCUUGUACAUCUUCGUGGCAAGCGGGUGAGUCACGCGUAAACAACCCGCCCAACGGAUGGGGACAACCGACGGACACGACCGAUAACACCCAAUAGUCUCCAGCUUCGCAUGAAACUGAUAGAAAAGGUUGCUUCUCGCAGAAGCAACCGCCGCCGGACGGGUUUGCGUAUGAUUAGGUGGAUGGUGUGGUAACGGCCUCCCAAGACGAAGAACGAUAGCCGGUCCUGGGGGGUGGACCGCCACCCUGGGACCGGGACCCGGUCCCGACCCCUUCGGGGGGCAGCCGGGAGGAAUCCUCCCCAAUGGACGGAAGUCUGACGGGGCAACGCCGCGGGGAGGAAGAAGGCCUUCGGGUUGUAAAGCUCUGUUAUUCGGGAAGAACGAAUCGUGUGUGUAUAAUGGACGGAAUUGACGGUACCGAAAGAGAAAGCCACGGCUAACUACGUG